This 1976-nucleotide ribosomal RNA is filed under the name human gut metagenome. RNAcentral describes it as "bacterial LSU rRNA". It matches the Rfam family "Bacterial large subunit ribosomal RNA", at positions 1 to 2003 of the family's 2925-position model. The record is from RNAcentral.
UUAAGCGACUAAGCGUACACGGUGGAUGCCCUGGCAGUCAGAGGCGAUGAAGGACGUGCUAAUCUGCGAUAAGCGUCGGUAAGGUGAUAUGAACCGUUAUAACCGGCGAUUUCCGAAUGGGGAAACCCAGUGUGUUUCGACACACUAUCAUUAACUGAAUCCAUAGGUUAAUGAGGCGAACCGGGGGAACUGAAACAUCUAAGUACCCCGAGGAAAAGAAAUCAACCGAGAUUCCCCCAGUAGCGGCGAGCGAACGGGGAGGAGCCCAGAGCCUGAAUCAGUGUGUGUGUUAGUGGAAGCGUCUGGAAAGGCGCGCGAUACAGGGUGACAGCCCCGUACACAAAAAUGCACAUGCUGUGAGCUCGAUGAGUAGGGCGGGACACGUGGUAUCCUGUCUGAAUAUGGGGGGACCAUCCUCCAAGGCUAAAUACUCCUGACUGACCGAUAGUGAACCAGUACCGUGAGGGAAAGGCGAAAAGAACCCCGGCGAGGGGAGUGAAAAAGAACCUGAAACCGUGUACGUACAAGCAGUGGGAGCCUCUUAAUGGGGUGACUGCGUACCUUUUGUAUAAUGGGUCAGCGACUUAUAUUCUGUAGCAAGGUUAACCGAAUAGGGGAGCCGAAGGGAAACCGAGUCUUAACUGGGCGUUAAGUUGCAGGGUAUAGACCCGAAACCCGGUGAUCUAGCCAUGGGCAGGUUGAAGGUUGGGUAACACUAACUGGAGGACCGAACCGACUAAUGUUGAAAAAUUAGCGGAUGACUUGUGGCUGGGGGUGAAAGGCCAAUCAAACCGGGAGAUAGCUGGUUCUCCCCGAAAGCUAUUUAGGUAGCGCCUCGUGAAUUCAUCUCCGGGGGUAGAGCACUGUUUCGGCAAGGGGGUCAUCCCGACUUACCAACCCGAUGCAAACUGCGAAUACCGGAGAAUGUUAUCACGGGAGACACACGGCGGGUGCUAACGUCCGUCGUGAAGAGGGAAACAACCCAGACCGCCAGCUAAGGUCCCAAAGUCAUGGUUAAGUGGGAAACGAUGUGGGAAGGCCCAGACAGCCAGGAUGUUGGCUUAGAAGCAGCCAUCAUUUAAAGAAAGCGUAAUAGCUCACUGGUCGAGUCGGCCUGCGCGGAAGAUGUAACGGGGCUAAACCAUGCACCGAAGCUGCGGCAGCGACGCUUAUGCGUUGUUGGGUAGGGGAGCGUUCUGUAAGCCUGUGAAGGUGUGCUGUGAGGCAUGCUGGAGGUAUCAGAAGUGCGAAUGCUGACAUAAGUAACGAUAAAGCGGGUGAAAAGCCCGCUCGCCGGAAGACCAAGGGUUCCUGUCCAACGUUAAUCGGGGCAGGGUGAGUCGACCCCUAAGGCGAGGCCGAAAGGCGUAGUCGAUGGGAAACAGGUUAAUAUUCCUGUACUUGGUGUUACUGCGAAGGGGGGACGGAGAAGGCUAUGUUGGCCGGGCGACGGUUGUCCCGGUUUAAGCGUGUAGGCUGGUUUUCCAGGCAAAUCCGGAAAAUCAAGGCUGAGGCGUGAUGACGAGGCACUACGGUGCUGAAGCAACAAAUGCCCUGCUUCCAGGAAAAGCCUCUAAGCAUCAGGUAACAUCAAAUCGUACCCCAAACCGACACAGGUGGUCAGGUAGAGAAUACCAAGGCGCUUGAGAGAACUCGGGUGAAGGAACUAGGCAAAAUGGUGCCGUAACUUCGGGAGAAGGCACGCUGAUAUGUAGGUGAAGCGACUUGCUCGUGGAGCUGAAAUCAGUCGAAGAUACCAGCUGGCUGCAACUGUUUAUUAAAAACACAGCACUGUGCAAACACGAAAGUGGACGUAUACGGUGUGACGCCUGCCCGGUGCCGGAAGGUUAAUUGAUGGGGUUAGCGGCAACGCGAAGCUCUUGAUCGAAGCCCCGGUAAACGGCGGCCGUAACUAUAACGGUCCUAAGGUAGCGAAAUUCCUUGUCGGGUAAGUUCCGACCUGCACGAAUGGCGUA